GGUUCGAUCCUGGCUCAGAUUGAACGCUGGCGGGAUGCUACAUGCAAGUCGAACGGCAGCACGGACAACCGGUCUGGUGGCGAGUGGCGAACGGGUGAGUAAUGUAUCGGAACGUGCCUAGUAGCGGGGGAUAACUACGCGAAAGCGUCUUCAGCCACCACCCAUACGCCCUUCGGGGAAAAGCGGGGACCUUCGGGCCUCGCACUAUUAGAGCAGCCGAUAUCGGAUUAGCUAGUUGGUGGGUACUUGGCUCACCAAGGCGACGAUCCGUAGCUGGUUUGAGAGGACGACCAGCCACACUGGGACUGAAGGCGCGGCCCAGACUCCCUGGGAGGCAGCAGUGAAAUUUUGGACCAAUGGGAAGCCCUGAUCCAGCCAUCCCGCGUGUGCGAUGAAGGCCUUCAGGUUGUAAAGCACUUUUGGCAGGAAAGAAACGGCCUGGAUAAUACCCCGUGCAACUGACGAAACACCUGCAGAAUAAGCGCCGGCUAACUACGUGCCAGCAGCCGCGGUAAUACGUAAGUGCAAGCGUUAAUCGGAAUUACUGGGCGUAAAGCGUGCGCAGGCGGUUCGGAAAGAAAGAUGUGAAAUCCAGAGCUUAACUUUGGAACUGCAUUUAACUUACCGAGCUAAGUGUGUCAGAGGGAGGUGGAAUUCCACGCGUGUAGCAGUGAAAUGCGUAGAUAUGCGGAGGAACACCGUGUGAAGGCAGCCUCCUGGGAUAACGCGGCAGCUCAUGCACGAAAGCGUGGGGAGCAAACAGGAUUAGAUACCCUGGUAGUCCACGCCUAAACGAUGUCAACUAGCUAUUGGGGCCUUCGGGCCUUGGUAUGCAGCUAACGCGUGAAGUUGACCACCUGGGAAAUACAGUCGCAAGAUUAAAACUCAAGGAAUUGACGGGGACCCACUGACGGUGGAUGAUGUGGAUUAAUUCGAUGCAACGCGAAAAACUACCUACCCUUGACAUGUCUGGAAUCCCGAGAUUUGGGAGUGCUCGCAAGAGAACCGGAACACAGGUGCUGCAUGGCUGUCGUCAGCUCGUGUCGUGAAGAUGUUGGGUUAAGUCCGCAACGAGCGCAACCCUUGUCAUUAGUUGCUACGAAAGGGCACUCUAAUGGACUACCCGGUGACAAACCGGAGGAAGGUGGGGAUGACGUCAAGUCCUCAUGGCCCUUAUGGGUAGGGAUUCACACGUCAUACAAUGGUCGGGACAGAGGGUCGCCAACCCGCGAGGGGAGCCAAUCCCAGAAACCCGAUCGUAGUCCGGAUCGCAGUCUGCAACUCGACUGCGUGAAGUCGGAAUCGUAGUAAUCGCGGAUCAGCAUGUCGCGGUGAAUACAUUCCGGGUCUUGUACACACCGCCCGUCACACCAUGGGAGUGGGUUUUACCGAAGUAGUUAGCCUAACCGUAAGGAGGGCGAUUACCACGGUAGGAUUCGUGACUGGGGGUGAUCGUAACAAGGUAA
This 1466-nucleotide ribosomal RNA is filed under the name uncultured Bordetella sp. RNAcentral's name for it is "partial 16S-23S ribosomal RNA intergenic spacer". It matches the Rfam family "Bacterial small subunit ribosomal RNA". The record is from RNAcentral. Lineage: Bacteria; Pseudomonadati; Pseudomonadota; Betaproteobacteria; Burkholderiales; Alcaligenaceae.